GAUUCUUCGGAUGAAAGUUUGGUGACUGAGUGGCGGACGGGUGAGUAACGCGUGGGUAACCUGCCCUGUACAGGGGGAUAACAGCUGGAAACGGCUGCUAAUACCGCAUAAGCGCACGAGGAGACAUCUCCUAGUGUGAAAAACUCCGGUGGUACAGGAUGGGCCCGCGUCUGAUUAGCUGGUUGGCAGGGUAACGGCCUACCAAGGCAACGAUCAGUAGCCGGUCUGAGAGGAUGAACGGCCACAUUGGAACUGAGACACGGUCCAAACUCCUACGGGAGGCAGCAGUGGGGAAUAUUGCACAAUGGGGGAAACCCUGAUGCAGCAACGCCGCGUGAGUGAAGAAGUAUUUCGGUAUGUAAAGCUCUAUCAGCAGGGAAGGUAAUGACGGUACCUGACUAAGAAGCUCCGGCUAAAUACGUGCCAGCAGCCGCGGUAAUACGUAUGGAGCAAGCGUUAUCCGGAUUUACUGGGUGUAAAGGGUGCGUAGGUGGCAGUGCAAGUCAGAUGUGAAAGGCCGGGGCUCAACCCCGGAGCUGCAUUUGAAACUGCAUAGCUAGAGUACAGGAGAGGCAGGCGGAAUUCCUAGUGUAGCGGUGAAAUGCGUAGAUAUUAGGAGGAACACCAGUGGCGAAGGC
RNAcentral lists this ribosomal RNA (638 nucleotides) under uncultured Lachnospiraceae bacterium. RNAcentral describes it as "bacterial SSU rRNA". It matches the Rfam family "Bacterial small subunit ribosomal RNA", at positions 68 to 722 of the family's 1533-position model. Lineage: Bacteria; Bacillati; Bacillota; Clostridia; Lachnospirales; Lachnospiraceae. The record is from RNAcentral.